Molecule: small nucleolar RNA, 94 nt
Filed under: Leersia perrieri
Lineage: Eukaryota; Viridiplantae; Streptophyta; Magnoliopsida; Poales; Poaceae
Description: Small nucleolar RNA snoR8a
Rfam family: Small nucleolar RNA snoR8a
Source: Rfam by way of RNAcentral
UUUGGUGCAGUGAUUAUAAGAACAUUCCUCGUCCUGAUUGGUCAUCUGCGUGAUGACUUUUAAUCUUUUAUACACCCAUAAAAAUCCGAGCACC